RNAcentral lists this ribosomal RNA (253 nucleotides) under uncultured bacterium. RNAcentral's name for it is "partial 16S ribosomal RNA". It matches the Rfam family "Bacterial small subunit ribosomal RNA", at positions 524 to 776 of the family's 1533-position model. The record is from RNAcentral.
UACGAAGGGUGCUAGCGUUGGUCGGACUUACUGGGCGUAAAGCGCACGCCGGCGGCUUGUCAAGUUAGAUGUGAAAGCCCGGGGCUUAACCCCGGAAUUGCAUUUGAAACUGGCUCGCUAGAGAUAGGUAGAGGAGAGUGGAAUUCCCAGUGUAGAGGUGAAAUUCGUAGAUAUUGGGAGGAACACCGGAGGCGAAGGCGGCUCUCUGUACCUAUUCUGACGCUCAUGUGCGAAAGCGUGGGGAGCAAACAGU